Molecule: non-coding RNA, 99 nt
Filed under: Burkholderia gladioli
Lineage: Bacteria; Pseudomonadati; Pseudomonadota; Betaproteobacteria; Burkholderiales; Burkholderiaceae
Description: Glycine sequence
Rfam family: Glycine riboswitch aptamer
About the family: This family represents the bacterial glycine riboswitch. Glycine riboswitches usually consist of two metabolite-binding aptamers domains with similar structures in tandem.
Source: RNAcentral
CGGCACGCGUCGGGAGAGCGUGCGACAGCCUGGAUUCCGGGCCGCCGCGCCGCCGAAGGGGCACACCCACAAACUCUCAGGCAAAAGGACCGACCGCGU